Molecule: ribosomal RNA, 429 nt
Filed under: Chloroflexota bacterium
Lineage: Bacteria; Bacillati; Chloroflexota
Description: Chloroflexi bacterium partial 16S ribosomal RNA
Rfam family: Bacterial small subunit ribosomal RNA
Source: RNAcentral
UGGGGAAUAUUGCACAAUGGGCGCAAGCCUGAUGCAGCCAUGCCGCGUGUAUGAAGAAGGCCUUCGGGUUGUAAAGUACUUUCAGCGGGGAGGAAGGGAGUAAAGUUAAUACCUUUGCUCAUUGACGUUACCCGCAGAAGAAGCACCGGCUAACUCCGUGCCAGCAGCCGCGGUAAUACGGAGGGUGCAAGCGUUAAUCGGAAUUACUGGGCGUAAAGCGCACGCAGGCGGUUUGUUAAGUCAGAUGUGAAAUCCCCGGGCUCAACCUGGGAACUGCAUCUGAUACUGGCAAGCUUGAGUCUCGUAGAGGGGGGUAGAAUUCCAGGUGUAGCGGUGAAAUGCGUAGAGAUCUGGAGGAAUACCGGUGGCGAAGGCGGCCCCCUGGACGAAGACUCACGCUCAGGUGCGAAAGCGUGGGGAGCAAACAGG